RNAcentral lists this ribosomal RNA (452 nucleotides) under uncultured bacterium. RNAcentral describes it as "partial 16S ribosomal RNA". It matches the Rfam family "Bacterial small subunit ribosomal RNA", at positions 354 to 796 of the family's 1533-position model. The record is from RNAcentral.
GUCGAGAAUAGUCUACAAUGGACGGAAGUCUGAUAGUGCGACGCCGCGUGAACGAAGAAUCCCUUCGGGGUGUAAAGUUCUUUUAUACGUGAGCAGUGUCCUUUAUAUUAAUAGUAUAAGGGGAGAGAUAUUAGCGUAUGAAUAAGCAACGGCUAACUCCGUGCCAGCAGCCGCGGUAACACGGGGGUUGCGAGCGUUGUCCGGAAUUACUAGGCGUAAAGUGCAGGUAGGCGGAUAAAUAAGUUUAAGGUUAAAGGCUACGGCUUAACCGUAGUAAAGCGUUAGAUACUGUUUAUCUGGAAUGCGGUUGAGGGAGACAGAAUUCCUGGUGUAGCGGUGGAAUGCGCAGAGAUCAGGAGGAAUACCGAAGGCGAAGGCAGUCUUCUAAGCCGAUAUUGACGCUAAACUGCGAAGGUGUGGGGAUCAAACAGGAUUAGAUACCCGAGUAGUCC